RNAcentral lists this unclassified non-coding RNA (300 nucleotides) under uncultured fungus. RNAcentral describes it as "partial contains small subunit ribosomal RNA, internal transcribed spacer 1, and 5.8S ribosomal RNA". The stretch from base 1 to 73 matches the Rfam family "Eukaryotic small subunit ribosomal RNA", at positions 1759 to 1831 of the family's 1831-position model. Lineage: Eukaryota; Fungi. The record is from RNAcentral.
GCAAACUUGGUCAUUUAGAGGAAGUAAAAGUCGUAACAAGGUUUCCGUAGGUGAACCUGCGGAAGGAUCAUUAACAAAUUGUCCACUGCAUAAUGGAUAAUUUUUUAUCCUUUAUCCACCUUGUGUGCAUCAUUGAAGCGUUUGUUUGGCAGGUUUUUGAACACUCUCUUCAGGAGAGCUCGGCCUGCCAAUUUUAUUUUUUGUAUAACAUGUCUAAAUAAAAAUGUCUGAACUAUUUUUUAAAUAAAUACAACUUUCAACAACGGAUCUCUUGGCUCUCGCAUCGAUGAAGAACGCAGC